GCAUGGCUCAGAUUGAACGCUGGCGGCAGGCCUAACACAUGCAAGUCGAGCGGAUGAAGGGAGCUUGCUCCUGGAUUCAGCGGCGGACGGGUGAGUAAUGCCUAGGAAUCUGCCUGGUAAUGGGGGAUAACGUCCGGAAACGGGCGCUAAUACCGCAUACGUCCUGAGGGAGAAAGUGGGGGAUCUUCGGACCUCACGCUAUCAGAUGAGCCUAGGUCGGAUUAGCUAGUUGGUGGGGUAAAGGCCUACCAAGGCGACGAUCCGUAACUGGUCUGAGAGGAUGAUCAGUCACACUGGAACUGAGACACGGUCCAGACUCCUACGGGAGGCAGCAGUGGGGAAUAUUGGACAAUGGGCGAAAGCCUGAUCCAGCCAUGCCGCGUGUGUGAAGAAGGUCUUCGGAUUGUAAAGCACUUUAAGUUGGGAGGAAGGGCAGUAAGUUAAUACCUUGCUGUUUUGACGUUACCAACAGAAUAAGCACCGGCUAACUUCGUGCCAGCAGCCGCGGUAAUACGAAGGGUGCAAGCGUUAAUCGGAAUUACUGGGCGUAAAGCGCGCGUAGGUGGUUCAGCAAGUUGGAUGUGAAAUCCCCGGGCUCAACCUGGGAACUGCAUCCAAAACUACUGAGCUAGAGUACGGUAGAGGGUGGUGGAAUUUCCUGUGUAGCGGUGAAAUGCGUAGAUAUAGGAAGGAACACCAGUGGCGAAGGCGACCACCUGGACUGAUACUGACACUGAGGUGCGAAAGCGUGAGGAGCAAACAGGAUUAGAUACCCUGGUAGUCCACGCCGUAAACGAUGUCGACUAGCCGUUGGGAUCCUUGAGAUCUUAGUGGCGCAGCUAACGCGAUAAGUCGACCGCCUGGGGAGUACGGCCGCAAGGUUAAAACUCAAAUGAAUUGACGGGGGCCCGCACAAGCGGUGGAGCAUGUGGUUUAAUUCGAAGCAACGCGGAGAACCUUACCUGGCCUUGACAUGCUGAGAACUUUCCAGAGAUGGAUUGGUGCCUUCGGGAACUCAGACACAGGUGCUGCAUGGCUGUCGUCAGCUCGUGUCGUGAGAUGUUGGGUUAAGUCCCGUAACGAGCGCAACCCUUGUCCUUAGUUACCAGCACCUCGGGUGGGCACUCUAAGGAGACUGCCGGUGACAAACCGGAGGAAGGUGGGGAUGACGUCAAGUCAUCAUGGCCCUUACGGCCAGGGCUACACACGUGCUACAAUGGUCGGUACAAAGGGUUGCCAAGCCGCGAGGUGGAGCUAAUCCCAUAAAACCGAUCGUAGUCCGGAUCGCAGUCUGCAACUCGACUGCGUGAAGUCGGAAUCGCUAGUAAUCGUGAAUCAGAAUGUCACGGUGAAUACGUUCCCGGGCCUUGUACACACCGCCCGUCACACCAUGGGAGUGGGUUGCUCCAGAAGUAGCUAGUCUAACCGCAAGGGGGACGGUUACCACGGAGUGAUUCAUGACUGGGGUGAAGUCGUAACAAGGUAACCGU
This 1490-nucleotide ribosomal RNA is filed under the name uncultured bacterium. RNAcentral's name for it is "partial 16S ribosomal RNA". It matches the Rfam family "Bacterial small subunit ribosomal RNA". The record is from RNAcentral.